Molecule: transfer RNA, 72 nt
Filed under: Heterocephalus glaber (naked mole-rat)
Lineage: Eukaryota; Metazoa; Chordata; Mammalia; Rodentia; Bathyergidae
Rfam family: tRNA
About the family: Transfer RNA (tRNA) molecules are approximately 80 nucleotides in length.
Source: Rfam by way of RNAcentral
UGGGGUGUAGCUCAGUGGUAAAGCACUUGCUUGGCACAUGCAAGGCUCUAGGUUCAAUCCCUAGCACCAUAA